GCCUCCUGCCCAGAACCUUCCAAGCAGACACAAUGGUAAGAAUGGUGUCUGUCCUGCUGUCUCUGCUGCUGCUUCUGGGUCCUGCUGUCCUCCAGGAGACCCGAGAUGGUCAUUACUCUCUGACCUAUCUCUACACUGGGCUGUCCAGGUCUGGCAAAGGCACCCACAGGCUGCAGGGCACUGUCUUCCUCAAUGGCCAUGCCUUCUUCCACUACAACAGUGAAGACAGGAAGGCUGAGCCCCUGGGACCAUGGAGACAUGCGGAAGGAGUAGAGGACUGGGAGAAGCAGAGCCAAGUUCAGAAGGCCAGGGAGGACAUCUUUAUGGAGACCCUGAACAACAUCAUGGAGUAUUACAACGACGGUAACGGGGAGGUUUCAGGGUCUCAUGCCUUGCAGGAAAGGUUUGGUUGUGAGAUCCAGAAUAACAGAAGCACUGGAGCAUUCUGGAAGAAUGCCUAUGAUGGAAAGGACUACAUUGAAUUCAACAAAGAAAUCCCAGCCUGAGUCCCCUUGGUCCCGGAAGCCCAGAACACCAAGCAGAAGUAGGAGGCAGAACCAGUCUACGUGCAGCGGGCCAAGGCUUACCUGGAGGAGGAGUGCCCUGCAACUCUGCGGAAAUACCUGAAAUACAGCGAAAAUAUCCUGGACCGGCAAGAUCCUCCCUCUGUGGUGGUCACCAGCCACCAGGCCCCAGGAGAAAAGAAGAAACUGAAGUGCCUGGCCUACGACUUCUACCCAGGGAAAAUUGAUGUGCACUGGACUCGGGCCGGCGAGGUGCAGGAGCCUGAGUUACGGGGAGAUGUUCUUCACGGUGGAAACGGCACUUACCUGACCUGGUUGUUGGUGCAUGUGCCCCCGCAGGACACAGCCCCCUACUCCUGCCACGUGCAGCACAGCAGCCUGGCCCAGCCCCUCGUGGUGCCCGGGGAGGCCAGGUAGGAAGCAAGGGCUGGAGGCAAUGUGGGAUCUCAGCCCCAGUAGCUGCCCUUCCUGCCUGAUGUGGGAGCUGAACCACCGAAAUCACGGUCAAUGGAUCCUCAAGGCCCAAGGAGCAGUGUGGGGGGACAGACAGGAGGUGGAUUUGGAGACCGAAGACUGGGAUGCCUGUCCUGAGCUGACUCGGACCCAAAAACCAUCUCACCUUGAACCACCCCCCGCCAUUGUCUAAUCUGUGGAAACUAAUAAAUAAUCAUCUCUCUUUGUCAAGCACGACAGAGAACAGUAUUAACUGUAAAA
Molecule: long non-coding RNA, 1238 nt
Organism: Homo sapiens (human)
Lineage: Eukaryota; Metazoa; Chordata; Mammalia; Primates; Hominidae
Gene: AZGP1P1
Product: AZGP1 pseudogene 1
Source: Ensembl